AGCGCAGUGUGGUAGCAAUACCGUGCUGCGCUUAGCGGCGAACGGGUGUGUAAUACAGGGGUAACCACCCCCAAGGAGGAGAAUAACCCACCGAAAGGUGGGCUAAUACUCCAUGUGCUGAAUAGGAGGCAUCUCCUGUUCAGGAAAGGUGCCGCAAGGUGCCGCCUUGGGACGGGCUCCUGGCCUAUCAGCUUGAUGGCGGGGUAACGGCCCACCAUGGCUGAGACGGGUAGCUGGCGUGAGAGCGUGACCAGCCACAGGGGAACUGAGACACGGUCCCCACUCCUACGGGAGGCAGCAGUCUAGAAAUUUGGGCAAUGGGCGAAAGCCUGACCCAGCGACACCGCGUGGAGGAUGAAGUCCUUCGGGAUGUAAACUCCUGUCAGGGGGAACGAAGCCCGCCUUUGGCGGGUGACGGUACUCCCAGAGGAAGCCCCGGCUAACUACGUGCCAGCAGCCGCGGUAAUACGUAGGGGGCGAGCGCUGCCCGGAUUCACUGGGCGUAAAGGGUGUGUAGGCGGACCGGCGGGUCGAUGGUGAAAGCCCCCGGCUCAACCGGGGAACUGCCGUCGAAACUACCGGUCUUGAGGGCAGGAGAGGGAGCUGGAACUUCCGGUGUAGCGGUAAAAUGCGUGGAUAUCGGAAGGAACGCCGAUGGCGAAGGCAGGCUCCUGGAAUGUUCCUGACGCUGAAACACGAAAGCUAGGGGAGCAAACAGGAUUAGAUACCCUGGUAGUCCUAGCCGUAAACGAUGCACACUGGGCGUGGGGCGCUUUGCCCUGUGCCGUAGCUAACGCGUUAAGUGUGCCGCCUGG
This 815-nucleotide ribosomal RNA is filed under the name uncultured bacterium. RNAcentral describes it as "bacterial SSU rRNA". It matches the Rfam family "Bacterial small subunit ribosomal RNA", at positions 65 to 876 of the family's 1533-position model. The record is from RNAcentral.